CGGAACGGGUAAGUAAUGCGUGACCAACCUGCCCCAUGCUCCAGAAUAGCUCUUGGAAACGGGUGGUAAUGCUGGAUGCUCCAACUUGACGCAUGUCUUGUUGGGAAAGUGUUUAGUGGCAUGGGAUGGGGUCGCGUCCUAUCAGCUUGUAGGCGGGGUAAUGGCCCACCUAGGCUUCGACGGGUAGCCGGCCUGAGAGGGCGGACGGCCACAUUGGGACUGAGAUACGGCCCAGACUCCUACGGGAGGCAGCAGCA
Molecule: ribosomal RNA, 257 nt
Filed under: uncultured Gardnerella sp.
Lineage: Bacteria; Bacillati; Actinomycetota; Actinomycetes; Bifidobacteriales; Bifidobacteriaceae
Description: partial 16S ribosomal RNA
Rfam family: Bacterial small subunit ribosomal RNA
Source: RNAcentral